RNAcentral lists this ribosomal RNA (446 nucleotides) under uncultured bacterium. RNAcentral's name for it is "bacterial SSU rRNA". It matches the Rfam family "Bacterial small subunit ribosomal RNA", at positions 354 to 796 of the family's 1533-position model. The record is from RNAcentral.
GUAAGGAAUAUUGGACAAUGGAGGCAACUCUGAUCCAGCCAUGCCGCGUGAAGGAUGAAGGCGCUACGCGUUGUAAACUUCUUUUCUCUUAGAAAAAACAUCUGGUUUCGUACCGGAUCUGAUUGUACAAGAGGAAUAAGCAUCGGCUAACUUCGUGCCAGCAGCCGCGGUAAUACGAAGGAUGCAAGCGUUAUCCGGAUUCACUGGGUUUAAAGGGUGUGUAGGUGGGAUAGUAAGUCAGUGGUGAAAUCCUCCGGCUCAACCGGAGAACUGCCAUAGAUACUGCUGUUCUUGAGUAUAGUUGAGGUGGGCGGAAUAUGACAUGUAGCGGUGAAAUGCUUAGAUAUGUCAUAGAACACCGAUCGCGAAGGCAGCUCGCCAAACUAUUACUGACACUGAAACACGAAAGUGCGGGGAUCAAACAGGAUUAGAAACCCCAGUAGUCC